AUACACUGAUGAAAGUCAACGAGUUUAUAACCUUGGCCGGAAGCUCUGGGUAAUCUUUUGAAACUUCAUCGUGCUGGGGAUAGUCCAUUGCAAUUAUUGGACUUCAACGAGGCAAUUCCUAGUAAGCGCGAGCUAUCAGCUCGCGUUGAUUACGUCCCUGCCCUUUGUACACACCGCCCGUCGCUACUACCGAUUGAAUGGCUUAGUGAGACCUUCGGAUUGGAGGUAGGUUGCUGGCAACAGCAACCAGCUUCCGAGAAGUUGGUCAAACUUGGUCAUUUAGAGGAAGUAAAAGUCGUAACAAGGUUUCCGUAGGUGAACCUGCGGGAGGAUCAUUAAUAAAUGCUUCAUUGCAUCCACCUUUUGUGCACCGUAAAUUUUCACUUAAACUUUGUCUGAUUUAUAUCUGUUCUGAAAGGAACAUGAAUUGUAAUCUAAUACAACUUUUAACAAUGGAUCUCUUGGCUCUCGCAUCGAUGAAGAACGCAGCGAAAUGCGAUAAGUAAUGUGAAUUGCAGAAUUCAGUGAAUCAUCGAAUCUUUGAACGCAUAUUGCGCUCUCCGGCAUUCCGGAGAGCAUGCCUGUUUGAGUCUUGGUACCAAUCUGGUGUAACCUUUGUAUUAAGGAUAGAACUUUUUAUAAAAAACUGCAUUGAGACGUCUUGAUAAGUAAAAUUGUUAAGUGUCUUAAAAUACAAUAGUACAGCUAUAGCUCACCCUCUUUGGAGUAAUAUGUGACCUGAAAGGGUAACUCUAUUUCUCCUCGUUGGGAAGACUUGUUGCUGGAAGUUUUUGAUUGCUGAACGUCAAAGGCGGCAUUCAAUUGUUCGAGUAACGACGAACUUAAAAAUUCAAGCUCAAAUCAGGUAGGAUUACCCGCUGAACUAAGC
RNAcentral lists this ribosomal RNA (889 nucleotides) under Olpidium brassicae. RNAcentral describes it as "eukaryotic LSU rRNA". The stretch from base 1 to 338 matches the Rfam family "Eukaryotic small subunit ribosomal RNA", at positions 1498 to 1831 of the family's 1831-position model. The record is from RNAcentral. Lineage: Eukaryota; Fungi; Olpidiomycota; Olpidiomycetes; Olpidiales; Olpidiaceae.